This 1058-nucleotide ribosomal RNA is filed under the name Salmonella enterica subsp. enterica. RNAcentral's name for it is "bacterial LSU rRNA". It matches the Rfam family "Bacterial large subunit ribosomal RNA", at positions 1 to 1090 of the family's 2925-position model. The record is from RNAcentral. Lineage: Bacteria; Pseudomonadati; Pseudomonadota; Gammaproteobacteria; Enterobacterales; Enterobacteriaceae.
GGGUUGUGAGGUUAAGCGACUAAGCGUACACGGUGGAUGCCCUGGCAGUCAGAGGCGAUGAAGGGCGUGCUAAUCUGCGAUAAGCGCCGGUAAGGUGAUAUGAACCGUUAUAACCGGCGAUACCCGAAUGGGGAAACCCAGUGUGAUUCGUCACACUAUCAUUAACUGAAUCCAUAGGUUAAUGAGGCGAACCGGGGGAACUGAAACAUCUAAGUACCCCGAGGAAAAGAAAUCAACCGAGAUUCCCCCAGUAGCGGCGAGCGAACGGGGAGGAGCCCAGAGCCUGAAUCAGCAUGUGUGUUAGUGGAAGCGUCUGGAAAGGCGCGCGAUACAGGGUGACAGCCCCGUACACAAAAGCGCAUGUGCUGUGAGCUCGAUGAGUAGGGCGGGACACGUGGUAUCCUGUCUGAAUAUGGGGGGACCAUCCUCCAAGGCUAAAUACUCCUGACUGACCGAUAGUGAACCAGUACCGUGAGGGAAAGGCGAAAAGAACCCCGGCGAGGGGAGUGAAAAAGAACCUGAAACCGUGUACGUACAAGCAGUGGGAGCACCCUUCGGGGUGUGACUGCGUACCUUUUGUAUAAUGGGUCAGCGACUUAUAUUCUGUAGCAAGGUUAACCGAAUAGGGGAGCCGGAGGGAAACCGAGUCUUAACCGGGCGUUAAGUUGCAGGGUAUAGACCCGAAACCCGGUGAUCUAGCCAUGGGCAGGUUGAAGGUUGGGUAACACUAACUGGAGGACCGAACCGACUAAUGUUGAAAAAUUAGCGGAUGACCUGUGGCUGGGGGUGAAAGGCCAAUCAAACCGGGAGAUAGCUGGUUCUCCCCGAAAGCUAUUUAGGUAGCGCCUCGUGAAUUCAUCUCCGGGGGUAGAGCACUGUUUCGGCUAGGGGGCCAUCCCGGCUUACCAACCCGAUGCAAACUGCGAAUACCGGAGAAUGUUAUCACGGGAGACACACGGCGGGUGCUAACGUCCGUCGUGAAGAGGGAAACAACCCAGACCGCCAGCUAAGGUCCCAAAGUCAUGGUUAAGUGGGAAACGAUGUGGGAAGGCCCAGAC